Coccidioides immitis RS is the source of this 120-nucleotide ribosomal RNA. NCBI's taxonomy places the organism in Eukaryota, Fungi, Ascomycota, Eurotiomycetes, Onygenales, Onygenaceae. The record is from Rfam.
ACAUACGACCAUAGGAGGUGGAAAACAGGGCUUCCCGUCCGCUCAGCCGUACUUAAGGCACCUGCCGGCCGGCUAGUAGUUGGGUGGGUGACCACCAGCAAAUCCCGGCUGUUGUAUGUU